GGCCUGUAGUAAAGCUUUUACAGGUUUAACCUGCCCGGUGGGGAGUUUAACGGCCGCAGUAUUCUGACUGUGCUAAGGUAGCGUAAUCAUUUGCCUUUUAAUUGGUGGCUAGUAUGAAUGGUUGGUCAAGGGCUAUACUGUCUCUAAUAAAUUAAUUAAAAGUUACUUCUAGGUGAAGAAGCCUAGAUAUUGAAGAAAGACGAGAAGACCCUAGUGUGCUUUAAUUUUCUUAUAAUUAUAUUAUACUAAGAGAGUUUUUGCUGGGACGACGAGGGAAUGCUAGAGCUUCCUAAAUAUAUACGAAAAAUAUUCUUUUCUAAUGAUAAUGAAAACAGUAACCAUAGGGGUAACAGACUAAUUUCCUUCGAGAGUACACAUUAACAAGGAAGAUUGGCACCUCGAUGUUGGCUUAAGGAUACAACUAUGGAGUAGAAGUCUAGUAUGUGGGCUUGUUUCAGCCUUUAAAUCUUA
RNAcentral lists this ribosomal RNA (471 nucleotides) under Aspidosiphon laevis. RNAcentral's name for it is "partial 16S ribosomal RNA". It matches the Rfam family "Bacterial large subunit ribosomal RNA", at positions 1818 to 2598 of the family's 2925-position model. The record is from RNAcentral. Lineage: Eukaryota; Metazoa; Annelida; Sipuncula; Aspidosiphonidormes; Aspidosiphonidae.